This 1419-nucleotide ribosomal RNA is filed under the name metagenome. RNAcentral's name for it is "bacterial LSU rRNA". It matches the Rfam family "Bacterial large subunit ribosomal RNA", at positions 1484 to 2925 of the family's 2925-position model. The record is from RNAcentral.
AGCACAGGCGCGGAACGGAAAGCCGCGUGCAAGCGAAGGAGGAGUCACAUAGGAAAAACCGUGUGGCAAUCCAGAGGCGUGAUGCGGACCGAACUAAAGUAGGGAAGUGUGUGAGCCAUGAAUCAAGAAAAGCCGCUAUUGUUUUUAAGAUACCCGUACCGUAAACCGACACAGGUGGAUGAGGAGAGAAUCCUAAGGCCGGCGGAAGAAGCAUUGUUAAGGAACUCGGCAAAAUGACCCCGUAACUUCGGGAGAAGGGGUGCCAACGAGAGUUGGCCGCAGAGAAUAGGCUCAAGCAACUGUUUAGCAAAAACACAGGUCUAUGCAAAACCGUAAGGUGAGGUAUAUGGGCUGACGCCUGCCCGGUGCUGGAAGGUUAAGAGGAGAGGUUAGCGCAAGCGAAGCUUUGAAUUUAAGCCCCAGUAAACGGCGGCCGUAACUAUAACGGUCCUAAGGUAGCGAAAUUCCUUGUCGGGUAAGUUCCGACCCGCACGAAAGGCGUAAUGAUUUGAGCGCUGUCUCGACAAUGCAUCCGGUGAAAUUGAAGUACCAGUGAAGAUGCUGGUUACCCGCGCCAGGACGGAAAGACCCCAUGGAGCUUUACUCCAGUUUGGUACUGGGGUCCGGCAGUGCAUGUACAGGAUAGGUGGGAGGCUGUGAACCUGGAACGCCAGUUUCAGGGGAGCCAUUGUUGGGAUACCACCCUUGUGCUGCUGGGCUUCUAACCAGCGGCCUUUAUCAGGCCGGGGGACAAUGCCAGACGGGGAGUUUGACUGGGGCGGUCGCCUCCGAAAGGGUAUCGGAGGCGCUCAAAGGUUCCCUCAAAUGGUCGGAAACCAUUCGAAGAGUGCAAAGGCAGAAGGGAGCUUGACUGCGACACCGACGGGUGGAGCAGGUACGAAAGUAGGACUUAGUGAUCCGGUGGUAUUAAGUGGGAAUGCCAUCGCUCAACGGAUAAAAGCUACCCUGGGAUAACAGGCUUAUCACUCCCAAGAGUUCACAUCGACGGAGUGGUUUGGCACCUCGAUGUCGGCUCAUCGCAUCCUGGGGCUGUAGUAGGUCCCAAGGGUUGGGCUGUUCGCCCAUUAAAGCGGUACGCGAGCUGGGUUCAGAACGUCGUGAGACAGUUCGGUCCCUAUCCGGCGUGGGCGUAGGAUAUUUGAGAGGAGCUGUCCUUAGUACGAGAGGACCGGGAUGGACUGACCUCUGGUGUACCGGUUGAACCGCCAGGUUCACGGCCGGGUAGCCAAGUCGGGAAGGGAUAAACGCUGAAGGCAUCUAAGCGUGAAGCCCCCCUCAAGAUGAGAUAUCCCAUUCUUAAAGAAGUAAGACCCCUUGAAGACGACGAGGUAGAUAGGGCAGAGGUGGAAGUGCCGUAAGGCAUGGAGCUGACUGUUACUAAUCGGUCGAGGGCUUGAC